GCAGACAUAGUUUAGCAAAAACGUUAGAUUGUGAUUCUAAAAACAGGGGUUAAACCCCCCUUGUCCGCC
Molecule: transfer RNA, 69 nt
Filed under: Dinematichthys iluocoeteoides (yellow cuskeel)
Lineage: Eukaryota; Metazoa; Chordata; Actinopteri; Ophidiiformes; Bythitidae
Description: tRNA-His
Rfam family: tRNA
About the family: Transfer RNA (tRNA) molecules are approximately 80 nucleotides in length.
Source: RNAcentral